UACGGGGGGGGCUAGCGUUGUUCGGAAUUACUGGGCGUAAAGGGCGCGUAGGCGGUCUACUAAGUUGGAUGUGAAAACUCUGGGCUUAACCCAGAGCCUGCAUUCAAAACUGAUAGGCUAGGAGUUCUGGAGGGGAUAGCGGAAUUCCUGGUGUAGGCGGUAGAAAUGCGUAGAUAUCAGGAGGAACACCGGUGGCGAAGGCGGCUAUCUGGACAGAAACUGACGCUGAGGCGCGAAAGCUAGGGGAGCAAACAGG
Molecule: ribosomal RNA, 256 nt
Filed under: uncultured bacterium
Lineage: Bacteria
Description: partial 16S ribosomal RNA
Rfam family: Bacterial small subunit ribosomal RNA
Source: RNAcentral